This 349-nucleotide ribosomal RNA is filed under the name uncultured bacterium. Its description in RNAcentral is "bacterial SSU rRNA". It matches the Rfam family "Bacterial small subunit ribosomal RNA", at positions 43 to 378 of the family's 1533-position model. The record is from RNAcentral.
GAAUUCACUAGUGAUUCAGGCCUAACACAUGCAAGUCGAGCGGUAGAGAGAAGCUUGCUUCUCUUGAGAGCGGCGGACGGGUGAGUAAUGCCUAGGAAUCUGCCUGGUAGUGGGGGAUAACGUUCGGAAACGGACGCUAAUACCGCAUACGUCCUACGGGAGAAAGCAGGGGACCUUCGGGCCUUGCGCUAUCAGAUGAGCCUAGGUCGGAUUAGCUAGUUGGUGAGGUAAUGGCUCACCAAGGCGACGAUCCGUAACUGGUCUGAGAGGAUGAUCAGUCACACUGUUUCAGAGACACGGUCCAGACUCCUACGGGAGGCAGCAGUGGGGAAUAUUGGACAAUGGGCGA